AUGCCAAGAUUAGGAUACUUUCUAAACAAGUCCUUAAAUCUCUCCCAUGCUUUUGAAAAGCUCUCGAGGUCUUUCUGCUUAAAAGUGUGGACUUCAUUCUGAAUUU
This 106-nucleotide small nucleolar RNA is filed under the name Olea europaea subsp. europaea. RNAcentral's name for it is "Plant small nucleolar RNA R71". It matches the Rfam family "Plant small nucleolar RNA R71". From Rfam's summary of the family: R71 is a member of the C/D box family of snoRNAs containing the C (UGAUGA) and D (CUGA) box motifs. Multiple nearly identical copies of this snoRNA have been identified in Arabidopsis, and it is thought to function as a 2'-O-ribose methylation guide for 18S ribosomal RNA. The record is from Rfam by way of RNAcentral. Lineage: Eukaryota; Viridiplantae; Streptophyta; Magnoliopsida; Lamiales; Oleaceae.